This 228-nucleotide long non-coding RNA is filed under the name Elaeis guineensis (African oil palm). Its description in RNAcentral is "long non-coding RNA (EGUI_LNC064669)". Lineage: Eukaryota; Viridiplantae; Streptophyta; Magnoliopsida; Arecales; Arecaceae. The record is from RNAcentral.
GCAUGGUAGUUUAGAUUAGAUUUUAUAUAUAUAAUAUAGGUUAAAUUGUUUAAUCUAUCAAGAUCCACUGUAAAAUUUUAAAAUUGCAUGCAUAGAACUCCCAAUAUUUUUUUCAAUUAGUAUCAGAGCCUUGUUCGAUAUGAUAUAAUUUUUUAUAUAUUUAGUCUGAUUUUAUAUUAUUUAGAUUAGAUCUAAAUAAGUUUUAUUUUUAGUUCUAAUUUUUGAUCA